UUUCCAAUAUUGAAAGGGACAUAUUUGUACUUGAUCAUAUGUAGGAUUUGGCGUUUCAUUGUAAGGAAACAUAGAACAAUCCAGUAACAUAACAAUAUCGGCCAGAAAACAGGUACAUCCAAUACAGAGAAGAAGGUCAAAAGAAAAGCCACAACAAAAGCUUUUGUGAUGGCAUACCAGAACUUGAACUCAGGUAGGCGGCGAAUGAAAGGUUUGAAUUCAUCAGAACCUUUGGUAGGCAAGGAAGCUCCAUCCAAAGCUUCAAGCUCAGGAUCAUCCUUGGGCGA
RNAcentral lists this unclassified non-coding RNA (287 nucleotides) under Hevea brasiliensis (rubber tree). The record is from RNAcentral. Lineage: Eukaryota; Viridiplantae; Streptophyta; Magnoliopsida; Malpighiales; Euphorbiaceae.